GUUGGACGUCUUCUUCCUGUUUCUUCCUGUUUCUGGGACCUCACUGAUGCCAAACUGGACCCUCUCCCUGGUUCUGACAGGGAUCCUGAGUUCUGCUGCUCUGGAACCUCUGGAUGGUGGAGCAAGACCAGAACCCUGGUCCUGAUCAGCCGGGACCCGUCCCCAUUCUCUCCAGAUGUUGGCCCGUCUGCUUGGACUUCUGCUUGGGGUUAGAACGUCUCUGCCAGUCCAGGAGCAGGUGGAGCAUGGCUGUGUUAGAGGCCUUCAUCAUUCUCUGAGUUGGAGACGUCCAGAAAUACAUGAAUUACUGCUGCAGGCUCUGCUGGCAGGAAAUCUGUCAAAAAUUAAAUUAUUAUUA
This is a long non-coding RNA of Fundulus heteroclitus (mummichog), 358 nucleotides long. RefSeq lists it as uncharacterized. Lineage: Eukaryota; Metazoa; Chordata; Actinopteri; Cyprinodontiformes; Fundulidae. The record is from RefSeq and is a predicted model, not a curated record. The transcript has 3 exons.